CCGAGUUCAUGCCCGUACGGGUAGAUCUCCCACCCUAUGUUAUAUUACCUUUGUUGCUUUGGCAGGCCGUCAGGCUUCGGUCAGGCUACCGGCUCCGGCUGGUAAGCGCCUGCCAGAGGACCCCAAACUCUGAAUAUUAGUGUUGUCUGAGUACUAUAAAAUAACCAA
RNAcentral lists this unclassified non-coding RNA (168 nucleotides) under uncultured Helotiales. RNAcentral's name for it is "sequence contains ITS1". The record is from RNAcentral. Lineage: Eukaryota; Fungi; Ascomycota; Leotiomycetes; Helotiales.